This 2428-nucleotide long non-coding RNA is filed under the name Cricetulus griseus (Chinese hamster). Its description in RNAcentral is "lncRNA (ENSCGRG00015040968.1)". The record is from RNAcentral. Lineage: Eukaryota; Metazoa; Chordata; Mammalia; Rodentia; Cricetidae.
UGAGACAAGCUCUCUCAAUGAGCCUGAAGAUCUGUGAUUCAGUUAUGCUGGGUGAACAAAGACCUUCAGGGACCCACCUGUCUCCAUCCCACCAGGGCUGCUGUUACAGGCUUACAUUACCACCCCAGCUUUUUGCAUGAGUUCUGGGGAUCUAAACCCAUAUCCUCAUGCUUAUGGGGUAGCCACUUUACAGACUGAACAUCCUUCCCAGCCAUGUCAAUUUUGCUUACAAACUGGCUUAAAAAAGACACAUUUUAAACUCACAAAUUUACCAAGAGAGCUGCCUGACAGGUAUCAAUGCUUUUUGGUCUUUGCUAAAAGUCUUUAUAAAUGUUUGGCAUAUUUAUUAGUAUGACGGGGGUAUUUUAAACAACAUAUUUAUCAUCUGUUACAGAAUAAUCCAUUGUGAUCAGAGUACAUUAAAAUCUCCUAUGUGUUGACAACCCAGCAGGUGCCUUGGUGGUGUCCAGUUUUCAGCAGGGUCCUAGACAUUAACUUUCAAAAUCCCAAGUUAGGCUAUGUGGAUUCAAGGAAGUGAUUUUUCCUAACCAAAACAAUGAUUAUAGACUUUAUUCUGGUGUUCUGGUGAGGCUAAAGUUAAGCUGUAUAAGGCCCAAACGGCUUGUUAAGCUGAGUCCAGCUCUGUAUCACAUGAAAUGACUAAGUUUCUCCAUUCUUCCGCCUGAAAAACACAACUAACUGUUGAAGGAGUAAGGCUGCAGUGACUCCUCACACUCAGGAACAUGGCCAGCUCAUUUCUAAAUGGAAACUCCCAAGUGCCACAGCACAUCAAUCCUCUGACAUAUAAUCCGACUUCCAGAGCUGGAAUGUUCUCUAAAGGUCAGGUCUUUAGAUGAAGAAUGGCAGUUUAGUGGGUUAUGCAGCAGAAAUGCCUAAAUCUGGAGCCUUGCUUCAUGUCGGAGAAACAGCUUCUCUUCAAACAGCAGAGAGGAAGAAAGAACCUAGGACCGUGUGCUAGGGGAGUCGGGAAACAUUAUCCGGCCUCUAUUUGAGAAAACUGAAGAAAUGCUACACUCGAAGUGGGAAAAAAUCUGUAUUUUUGGCUUCAGAAAUUGGAAAUUUUCAGCACAAUUACUUUUUUCUUCAAUAAAAAAGGAUCUUGCCACGCUGUUCUGGCUGGCUUCGAAUUCGUGGUGUUCCUGUUUCAUUGAGGAUUAGACUUGGGCUACUACACCUGCUAUCUACAUAUAGAAAGGAAGCCAAGCCAGGCCUGGUAGUGACACAUGAUCACAAUCCCAGGACUUGGGGCACAGUGGUGGAGAAAGGAAGGUCACAAGUUCAAGACUAUGUAACAAGUUCCAGGCCAGCUCAGGCUACCUGUGACUCCACUUCCAUAAAGUAAAACCACUAGAAAGUGGGCCAGGAGCUAGAGUUCCCUUCUCUCUUUCCACAUUCUCUGUAUUUUGCUCUCCAUUCCACUCCCAAAUGCGUUCUAUCCACAUGCUGGCCCAUGAGACUCCUGCAGUUUAUCAAAGUGAAGCAACCGAGGAGUUCUUUUUUCAAACAGGCAAAUCUUUUUGUUAGGGUGGGACCUGAAACUGCGGGCUUCUAAGCAGUCCUAACCCUGCGGGAUUAUAAGAAUCUGAUAUUACCUACUUUUUCAGAAUGGCCAAAAGCGAGUAACUAAGGAUAUUGAUGCUCCCGGCCACUACCAACCAGCUGCGAGACCUUGGGCGACUGGGUUAAACUUUUCCCAGGCUAUAGCGAUGAAUGAUCUUUAAAAAUGAUCUAAUACCUGCUCUGAACACAACCGCACGGCUCCUACAUGGCACACAGAAGGCCUUUAAAGCUCUCUUCUAAGCAAUUCUUGAACCGCAGAACGCUUCCGAGAGCAAACAUCCGGUACAGUGCGAGAACACCUGGGCUUUGCAAGUCGUCUUACGGGAACCUGCGAGCUCCGUGUUGCUCCUCCGCCCACGCUCCGGGGCGCCCGGAAAACCGAUCCUCUCGGGACAGAGUCUGGAAAACGGGCUCGAAGCGGGACGUUUCCGCGAGUGGGACAAGUCGCUGGCGGCAUUUCAAGACCCCCAGAGCGACACACACAAUCCCGAACCGAGCAGCCCCGCCGAUCCGCGUUUGCACCACCUCCUGUUCCUAACCCGGACCCCAGACUCCACUCCUAUCCCCAGCCCCCACCACGAUGUCCCCCCAUUCCUUUUCCACGUGACACGGGCCGGAACCGUCACUUCCGGCGGCGCGGGGAGCGCGCCUGCGCGAGGCGCCCAGCUCUGCAAGAGGUUGGCACCGGCGCCGCACCCCGCAACUGCCGCAAGAGGCGGCGGCGGCAGUGCGAGCGGGGCGCCGGCGGGCUGCGGUCUCCAGGCUGCAAAGGCCGCGAGGCUGGGCAGCCACGCCCACCUCGGCCGGCCCCUCCCUCUUCCCCGGCGGCUCGCGCCCGGCGCGCCAG